GGCUGAUCCCAAGUGUAGUGGUGUUUACAACUAAUUGACCACAACCAGUUACAACAGAGUUCUUUGUUCUUUCUCCACUCCCACUGCUUCACUUGACUGGACUAAA
This is a Y RNA of Pongo abelii (Sumatran orangutan), 106 nucleotides long. It matches the Rfam family "Y RNA". Rfam says of the family: Y RNAs are components of the Ro ribonucleoprotein particle (Ro RNP), in association with Ro60 and La proteins. The Y RNAs and Ro60 and La proteins are well conserved, but the function of the Ro RNP is not known. Lineage: Eukaryota; Metazoa; Chordata; Mammalia; Primates; Hominidae. The record is from Ensembl.